AACGAACGCUGGCGGCAUGCCUAACACAUGCAAGUCGAACGAGACCUUCGGGUCUAGUGGCGCACGGGUGCGUAACGCGUGGGAACCUGCCCUUAGGUUCGGAAUAACUCCCCGAAAGGGGUGCUAAUACCGGAUAAUGUCUUCGGACCAAAGAUUUAUCGCCUGUGGAUGGGCCCGCGUUGGAUUAGCUUGUUGGUGGGGUAAAAGCCUACGAAGGCUACGAUCCAUAGCUGGUCUGAGAGGAUGGUCAGACACAGUGGGACGGAGACACGGCACAGACUCAGAGGGGAGGGAGAAGUGCGGAAAAGUGAAAAAUGGGCGGAAGGGGGAUGUAGUAAAGCCGUGUGGGGGAUGACGGGAUGAGGGGUGGAAAGCGCGGCUGCCUGGGACGAGGAGGGAGUGACGGUAAGGGGUAAAGAAGCUCCGGCUAACUACGUG
Molecule: ribosomal RNA, 438 nt
Filed under: uncultured bacterium
Lineage: Bacteria
Description: partial 16S ribosomal RNA
Rfam family: Bacterial small subunit ribosomal RNA
Source: RNAcentral